RNAcentral lists this ribosomal RNA (274 nucleotides) under uncultured bacterium. Its description in RNAcentral is "partial 16S ribosomal RNA". It matches the Rfam family "Bacterial small subunit ribosomal RNA", at positions 523 to 796 of the family's 1533-position model. The record is from RNAcentral.
CUACGGAGGGUCCAAGCGUUAUCCGGAUUCAUUGGGUUUAAAGGGUCCGCAGGCGGGAAAAUAAGUCAGUGGUGAAAGCCUACAGCUCAACUGUAGAACUGCCAUUGAUACUGUUUUUCUUGAGUAUAGAUGAAGUGGGCGGAAUAUAUCAUGUAGCGGUGAAAUGCAUAGAUAUGAUAUAGAACACCGAUUGCGAAGGCAGCUCACUAAACUAUUACUGACGCUCAGGGACGAAAGCGUGGGGAGCGAACAGGAUUAGAUACCCCGGUAGUCC